Gossypium raimondii (Peruvian cotton) is the source of this 52-nucleotide non-coding RNA. The record is from Rfam. Lineage: Eukaryota; Viridiplantae; Streptophyta; Magnoliopsida; Malvales; Malvaceae.
AUAGCGGCGUUUUUAUUAAAAACGCCACAAAAAAUUUACUUUAAAAAAAUAG